RNA transcript from Cydia fagiglandana, 3950 nucleotides. It is a transcript of the gene named glutamyl aminopeptidase-like, with no coding region annotated. The transcript is spliced from 18 exons. Lineage: Eukaryota; Metazoa; Arthropoda; Insecta; Lepidoptera; Tortricidae. The record is from RefSeq and is a predicted model, not a curated record.
GCUGCCGAUCGCCCAGUCACUCUCACUAUCAACGUACGGCAUAGUUUUUCUCGAGUGACCGUAGCGAACAGUUUGAUAGUGAAACUGUAUUAUUUAACCUGUUUUUAUCUCAUCAUUAUAUGAUAAAAGGCUUUUGUCGAUGGGAGUCUGCUCUCCGAUAAAAGACUUUUGUGAUGCUUAGAUAAAAACAUUUUUUCUUGUAUGUGUGAAUAACGAAACAAUAUAAAAUUAACGAUGACGCCACGGCGUGUGAAGCAGUGGGUUGGCAGUAAUAAACUGCUGGUCGUUGUCGGAUUGCUGGCCUUGUGCUUCUGCAUAUCCACGGUAGCACUCGCUGUGAGGGGAACUACCUGCAAACGGGACCUAGAUGGGAGGAGUCUAAGUAAACUUUCACUAGUGAAUAAUAAAGCUGGGAGCAUGAAUUACAGGCUUCCAAGACACGUAAUACCGAAAAAUUACAAAUUGAGACUGGAGCCAACACUGAAAGGCCGCAACAAAACAUUUACGGGCUCCGUCAAAAUUCAACUUGAUAUACUACAACCCACGCAAAACGUGACUUUGCAUUCCAAUAAACUCCGUAUUAAAUUCGUGGAUUUAAAAAGAGACGAUGAUUUGAAUAAACAUACUAUCGGAACAGAGAAUAAUAUCGACGACAGAAGAGAGAUGUUAAUAAUAAGAACGGAGAAAGAGUUAUCAAGAGGCCUUUAUACGUUGAGGAUAGUCUUCUCGGGUAAGCUUGGGGGAUUGGUUGGAUUCUACGGGAGCACACUAAAAAACGGCAGGACAAUGGUGGCAAGCAAGUUUCAGCCAACAUAUGCCCGGCAAGCGUUCCCCUGCUUUGAUGAGCCGGACUUCAAGGCAACUUAUGAUAUCACUCUUGUAAAACCGGAGAAUUAUAUAGCCCUCUCCAAUAUGAAUGAAAUAUCCAGAUCUCGUGAUGAUAAAACAUCCUCAGAUGUUGUGACAUUUGCCACUAGCGUUCCCAUGUCAACAUACUUAGCUUGCUUUGUGAUCUGUGACUUCGCCUCCAAAGAAACAGAGAUCAACUCCAAUGGUAUAGGAAGCAACUUUAUAUUGAGAUCAUUUGCGCAGAAGAAUGAGACACACAAAAUCGAUUUUGCUCAGAGUAUUGGGAAGAGAGCCACUGAGUUCUAUAUACAGUAUUAUGAAGUGCCAUUUCCUCUGCCAAAACUAGACAUGAUAGCCAUCCCCGACUACAUAUCGGGGGCCACGGAGCACUGGGGCCUGGUGACGUACCGCGAGACCUCGUUCCUGGUGGACGAGGCCACGGCCUCGGCGCAGAACAAGAUCGCCGUGGCCAACACCAUCACGCACGAGCUGGCGCACAUGUGGUUCGGCAACUUGGUGACUAUGAAAUGGUGGGACGACUUGUGGCUGAACGAGGGCUUUGCGUCCUACAUGCAGGUCAAGUGUUUGAACGCCAUCGAGCCUUCUUGGACUAUGCUGGAUCAAUUCUUGAAAGGGAUGCAAACCGUGAUGGUGACGGACGCGACGCUCUCGAGUCAUCCCAUCGUGCAAACUGUAGAGACGCCCGAUCAGAUCACAGCCAUAUUCGACACCAUUUCUUACAAGAAGGGUUCAUCAGUACUACGUAUGCUGGAAGGUUUCAUAGGCGAGGAGAGUUUCCGGCGGGGCGUGUCUGACUACCUUAAGAAGCACAAGUUCGGGAACACGGUCACGCAGGACCUGCUCGCCUCGCUGGAGCCCUACUUCAAGAAGGCCAACCCCGAUCUUAAUCUUACGUACAUAAUGGACACAUGGACGCGUCAGAUGGGCUACCCGGUACUGACGGUGACCAGGACGGACACCUCCUACCGCGUCACGCAAUCGCGCUUCCUCUUGGACCCGGAGGCGGAGUCACCUAAUGAUUCCGCUUAUAAUUACAGGUGGUUCGUGCCUGUUACGUACAAAACGAAUAACGGCGUAAACGAAAAAGUCAUCUGGUUCGGAGAUAAAAAGGAUAACGUUGAAAUAUCGGAGCCGAACGCUACCUGGCUCAAGAUAAACAACAACCAAGUGGGGUACUACCGGGUGAACUACCCGCACGAGAUGUGGCAGAGCUUGGUGGAGCAGCUGAAGGCGGGAUCUGAUCAGCUAACGAUAUCCGACCGCUCGCACUUGCUGGACGACGUGUCGGCGCUGGCCGAAGCCGGCCUCGUGCCGUACUCGCUCGCCCUCCACCUGACCACCUACCUCAGUGUGGAGGAGGCCUAUGUGCCGUGGCAGACCGCCGCCGGUAUAUUCGGCGAUCUGUCAAAGAGGCUGCUGAACACACCCGCCCAUGAUGAUCUCAAGCAAUACAUGCAUGAACUUGUCAAGCCAAUUUUUACUAAAGUGGACGAAGGAUCUGAAAAUUCGGGAGUGAUUGAGCGUCUCCUACGUACCACGAUUCUGUCGCUGGCGACUAAAGCGGAGCUCCCGGAAGCGCAGAGCAAGGCGCGGCGGAUGUUCCUCGAGUGGCUGAACAGCCACGACUCCGGGCCCGUGAAGACUGUGGAGACGGACUUGAGGGACCUAGUGUAUUACCACGGUAUGAAACAGGGUACACAGGCAGAGUGGGACAAACUCUGGCAGAUCUAUAAGAGAGAAGAGGACGUACACGAACAGUCUAAGAUUAGGCAAGCGUUAGCGGCGCCGCGGGAUACGGCUAUACUCAGAAAGUAUCUCGACCUCGCGUGGGACGAAACCAACGUCCGCGCCCAAGACUACUUGAACGUCAUCCAAAUGAUCAGCAACAACCCAUCAGGCACCGAUCUGAUAUGGGACCACGUCCGCAACCGUUGGCCCUCGCUAGUGGAGCGUUACACGCUCAACAGUCGGACCCUGGGCGCUGUUGUACCGGGCGUCACUGACUCAUUCAACUCGGAAAGGGACCUCAAAGAGGUGAGAACACUACAACCCUUCAGGCACUCUAAUAUGGGAGGAUGUUCGCAAUCGUUGGCCCUCUCUAGCGGAGCGCUAUACGCUCAACAGUCGGACCCUGGGCGCCUUUGUACCGGGCGUCACUGACUCAUUCGACUCGGAAAGGGACCUCAAGGAGGUGAGAACACUACAACCCUUCAGGCACUCUAAUAUGGGAGGAUGAUCGUAAUCGUUGGCCCUCGCUAGUGGAGCGCUACACGCUCAACAGUCGGACCCUGGGCGCCGUUGUACCGGGCGUCACUGACUCAUUCAACUCGGAAAGGGACCUCAAAGAGAUGGAAGAUUUCUUCGCGAAGUACCCCGACGCGGGCGCGGGCGAGUCAGCGCGGAAACGCGCGCUUGAAACAGUUCGCAACAACAUCAAGUGGGCCUCGAAUAGAGCCCCCGCCGUAACCGCGUGGUUGCAAACAAGACGCGAGCAGCGCUCCACACAGAAAUCAUAACCUGUGGACCAUGUAGUACCCAUCAAAGUCAAAGUAAAAACAUUAUUUAAUCUCCUGCCUAGCAACUAGCAUUUUGGAAUAGUCAGAUAGGUACAUGGUAAAUUGCGCUAAAAAAGUUAAACUUCAAAUGGCUGUACGUAGUCCUGCAAGCCUAUUAUGGAUCGCUUUAUCCACAUUUAUCCACGUGAUAAAACAACUGUCACUUUUUAACUCUGCGGGAUAGAAAGAGGCGGACACCGUUUUAUCACGCUGUCACGUAGACAAAUACGACCAUCAUAUCCGUACAGCGCCCGUUAAUUCGUUUCUCAAUUGUCUAGUGGGAAAGCUUGACAUUGCAAAUUGAAAACUGAGUAGAUUAUGAAUUUAUGACGUCAUAAUAUUUAAUGUCCAAAUUUUAGAACAACUUUCAAUUUCUUUAUGGUGAGACCAGACGCCCAUGGAUACGGAUUUCCUUAAUUUUUAAGCAUUUUCUAAAAUAGUUGCCUACUGAAAGACUGCACAGAUCUUUGAGAAUGUUGUACUUAUACUCGUUUUAUUAAUGUUUCAAUAAAAUAUUUACCAUAA